This 252-nucleotide ribosomal RNA is filed under the name uncultured bacterium. RNAcentral's name for it is "partial 16S ribosomal RNA". It matches the Rfam family "Bacterial small subunit ribosomal RNA", at positions 524 to 776 of the family's 1533-position model. The record is from RNAcentral.
UACGUAGGUCCCGAGCGUUGUCCGGAUUUAUUGGGCGUAAAGCGAGCGCAGGUGGUUUAUUAAGUCUGGUGUAAAAGGCAGUGGCUCAACCAUUGUAUGCGUUGGAAACUGGUAGACUUGAGUGCAGGAGAGGAGAGUGGAAUUCCAUGUGUAGCGGUGAAAUGCGUAGAGAUUAGGAAGAACACCAGUGGCGAAGGCGAUUCUCUGGACUGUAACUGACGCUGAGGCUCGAAAGCGUGGGGAGCAAACAGG